This 659-nucleotide ribosomal RNA is filed under the name Sperchon plumifer. Its description in RNAcentral is "12S ribosomal RNA". Lineage: Eukaryota; Metazoa; Arthropoda; Arachnida; Trombidiformes; Sperchontidae. The record is from RNAcentral.
UUUUAUUAUUUUUAGAAAUAAAUUUAUUUUAAUGGAUUACUUAUGUGUAUUUUUAUUUUAUCGCAGGGUUUGGUUUUAUUUAAUUUUUGUUUUAGUUUUUAGAUAUCAGAUGGCGUGCCAGCAGUUGCGGUUAUACGAUUUUCUUUCUAAAUUUUUUAUUGAGAAAAGUUUCUUUUUAAUUAACUGUAAAAUUUGAGGUGAAAUUCUUUUUUUAUUUUUAUGUUUUGUUUUUCUUUUGAAUUUUUUUUUAAACAAGGAUUAGAUACCCUUUUAUUAUAUUUAUGAGUAUUAAAAGUUUUUCUUUAAACUCAAUAUUUUUGGCGGUUCAAUUUCUUUUUGGAGGGGCUUGUUUUUUAAUCGAUAAUCCACGUUUAAUUUUUCUUUUAUUUUUAAUUUGUAUACCUCUGUUUGGGUGAUUUUUUGUUUUUUUAUCUUUUAAAUUUGUAUUUUUAAUUCAAGUCAAGGUGCAGUUUAUAUUUUAGCAUUAAUUAGCCACUUUAAGAUUUAAUUUUUUAAGUUUAUUUUAUCUUUGGAUUCAUUAGUAAUCUUUAAAUAUAAUUUUAUUUUGAAUUAGUUAAUUUGAAUGUACAUAUCGCCCGUCACUCUUUUUAUAGAUAAGUCGUAACAAAGUAGUAGUAUUGGAAAAUGCUUCUUGUUUG